CCUGACUGCUAUCGGAUUGAUACUAAGCCAUGCGAGUCAUUGUAGUAAUACAAGGCAGACGGCUCAGUAACGCGUAGUCAACCUAACCUAUGGACGGGAAUAACCUCGGGAAACUGAGAAUAAUGCCCGAUAGAACAUUAUGCCUGGAAUGGUUUAUGUUCCAAACGAUUUAUCGCCAUAGGAUGGGACUGCGGCCUAUCAGUUUGUUGGUGAGGUAAUGGCCCACCAAGACUAUUACAGGUACGGGCUCUGAGAGGAGUAGCCCGGAGAUGGGUACUGAGACACGGACCCAGGCCCUAUGGGGCGCAGCASGCGAGAAAACUUUGCAAUGUGCGAAAGCACGACAAGGUUAAUCCGAGUGGUUUCUGCUAAAGGAACCUUUUGUCAGUCCUAAAAACACUAACGAAUAAGGGGUGGGCAAGUUCUGGUGUCAGCCGCCGCGGUAAAACCAGCACCUCAAGUGGUCAGGAUGAUUAUUGGGCCUAAAGCAUCCGUAGCCGGCUCUGUAAGUUUUCGGUUAAAUCUGUACGCUCAACGUACAGGCUGCCGGAAAUACUGCAUAGCUAGGGAGUGGGAGAGGUAGACGGUACUCGGUAGGAAGGGGUAAAAUCCUUUGAUCUAUUGAUGACCACCUGUGGCGAAGGCGGUCUACCAGAACACGUCCGACGGUGAGGGAUGAAAGCUGGGGGAGCAAACCGGAUUAGAUACCCGGGUAGUCCCAGCUGUAGACUAUGCAAACUCAGUGAUGCAUUGGCUUAUGGCCAAUGCAGUGCUGCAGGGAAGCCGUUAGUUUGCCGCCUGGGAAGUACGUACGCAAGUAUGAAACUUAAGGAAUUGGCGGGGAGCACSACAGGGUGAGGCCUGCGGUUC
This 870-nucleotide ribosomal RNA is filed under the name uncultured archaeon. RNAcentral describes it as "bacterial SSU rRNA". It matches the Rfam family "Archaeal small subunit ribosomal RNA", at positions 21 to 903 of the family's 1478-position model. The record is from RNAcentral.